ACGGCUCAGUAACACGUGGACAACCUACCCUUGGGACGGGGAUAAACCCGGGAAACUGGGUAUAAUACCCGAUAGAUCUCGGAAGCUGGAAUGCAUCGAGAUCGAAAGCUCCGGUGCCCAAGGAUGGGUCUGCGGCCUAUCAGGUAGUAGUGGGUGUAGCGUACCUACUAGCCUACGACGGGUACGGGUUGUGAGAGCAAGAGCCCGGAGAUGGAUUCUGAGACACGAAUCCAGGCCUUACGGGGUGCAGCAGGCGCGAAAACUUUACAAUGCCGGCAACGGCGAUAAGGGGACCUCGAGUGCCAGGUUACAAAUCUGGCUGUCGUAAUGCCUAAAAAGCAUUUCAUAGCAAGGGCCGGGCAAGACCGGUGCCAGCCGCCGCGGUAACACCGGCGGCUCGAGUGGUAACCGUUAUUAUUGGGUCUAAAGGGUCUGUAGCCGGCCGGAUAAGU
This 452-nucleotide ribosomal RNA is filed under the name uncultured archaeon. Its description in RNAcentral is "bacterial SSU rRNA". It matches the Rfam family "Archaeal small subunit ribosomal RNA", at positions 85 to 538 of the family's 1478-position model. The record is from RNAcentral.